Molecule: ribosomal RNA, 253 nt
Filed under: uncultured bacterium
Lineage: Bacteria
Description: partial 16S ribosomal RNA
Rfam family: Bacterial small subunit ribosomal RNA
Source: RNAcentral
GACGAACCGUGCAAACGUUGUUCGGAUUCACUGGGCUUAAAGGGCGCGUAGGCGGGCCCCCGAGUCGGUGGUGAAAUCCCUCAGCUCAACUGAGGGACCGCCUCCGAUACCCGGGGCCUCGAGGGAGGUAGGGGCGGCCGGAACUUCCGGUGGAGCGGUGAAAUGCGUAGAUAUCGGAAGGAACGCCGGUGGCGAAAGCGGGCCGCUGGACCUCUGCUGACGCUGAGGCGCGAAAGCCAGGGGAGCAAACGGG